AAACCAACAGGGAUUGCCUCAGUAACGGCGAGUGAAGCGGCAACAGCUCAAAUUUGAAAUCUGGCCGCAAGGUCCGAGUUGUAAUUUGUAGAGGAUGUUUUGGGCACCGCCGUGGGUUAAAUUUCUUGGAACAGAAUGUCAAAGAGGGUGAGAGUCCCGUCUUGGCCCGCGGUAGGACCUAUGUAAAACUCCUUCGACGAGUCGACUUGUUUGGGAAUGCAGGUCAAAAUGGGUGGUAAAUUUCAUCUAAAGCUAAAUAUUGGCCAGAGACCGAUAGCGCACAAGUAGAGUGAUCGAAAGAUGAAAAGCACUUUGAAAAGAGAGUUAAACAGUAUGUGAAAUUGUUGAAAGGGAAGCGCUGGCAACCAGACUCGAGCGCGGUGUUCCCCCUGGCUUCUGCCUGGGUUAUUUCACCGUGACCGGGCCAUCAUCAGUUUUGAGGGCUGGUUAAAGACUCAGGGAAUGUAUCCACUCCUUCGGGGGUGGACUUAUAGCCCUGGGUGUCAUGCAGCCUCUUGGGACUGAGGAACGCGCUUCGGCGAGGAUGAUGGCGUAAUGGUUGUCAGCGAC
Molecule: ribosomal RNA, 570 nt
Filed under: uncultured fungus
Lineage: Eukaryota; Fungi
Description: eukaryotic LSU rRNA
Rfam family: Eukaryotic large subunit ribosomal RNA
Source: RNAcentral